GAUGAAGAACGCAGCGAAAUGCGAUAAGUAAUGCGAAUUGCAGAAUUUCCGUGAGUCAUCGAAUCUUUGAACGCACAUUGCGCCCCCUGGUAUUCCGGGGGGCAUGCCUGUCCGAGCGUCAUUGCUGCCCUCAAGCACGGCUUGUGUGUUGGGCCUCCGUCCUCCUCCCGGGGGACGGGCCCGAAAGGCAGCGGCGGCACCGCGUCCGGUCCUCGAGCGUAUGGGGCUUCGUCACCCGCUCUUGUAGGCCCGGUCGGCGCUUGCCGACACAUCAAUCUUUUUUCCAGGUUGACCUCGGAUCAGGUAGGGAUACCCGCUGAACUUAAGCAUAUCAAUAAGCGGAGGA
This 346-nucleotide unclassified non-coding RNA is filed under the name soil metagenome. Its description in RNAcentral is "partial contains 5.8S ribosomal RNA, internal transcribed spacer 2, and large subunit ribosomal RNA". The stretch from base 1 to 121 matches the Rfam family "5.8S ribosomal RNA", at positions 35 to 154 of the family's 154-position model. The record is from RNAcentral.